AGAUUACCACAUCAAAUUG
RNAcentral lists this small nuclear RNA (19 nucleotides) under Arabidopsis thaliana (thale cress). RNAcentral describes it as "snRNA_04909". Lineage: Eukaryota; Viridiplantae; Streptophyta; Magnoliopsida; Brassicales; Brassicaceae. The record is from RNAcentral.